AUUGAACGCUGGCGGCAGGCCUAACACAUGCAAGUCGAGCGGAAGAACGGUGCUUGCUUCUGGUUUCAGCGGGGGACGGGUGAGUGAUGCCUAGGAAUCUGCCUGGCUGUGGGUGAUAACGUCCGGAAACGGGCGCUAAUACCGCAUACGUCCAGAGGGAGAAAGGGGGGGAUCUUCGGACCUCACGCUCUCAGAUGAGUCUAGGUCGGAGUAGCUAGUUGGUUGGUUAAAGGCCUACCAAGGCGACGAUCCGUAGCUGGUCUGAGAGGAUGAUCAGCCACACUGGAACUGAGACACGGUCCAGACUCCUACGGGAGGCAGCAGUGGGGAAUAUUGGACAAUGGGCGGAAGCCUGAUCCAGCCAUGCCGCGUGUGUGAAGAAGGUCUUCGGAUUGUAAAGCACUUUUGGUUGGGAGGAAGGGCAGUAGGUUAAUACCUUGCUGUUUUGACGGUACCAACAGAAUAAGCACCGGCUAACUUCGUG
Molecule: ribosomal RNA, 484 nt
Filed under: uncultured bacterium
Lineage: Bacteria
Description: partial 16S ribosomal RNA
Rfam family: Bacterial small subunit ribosomal RNA
Source: RNAcentral